CUCGCCUGCAUGAAGUUGGAAUUGCUAGUAAUCGCGAAUCAGAAUGUCGCGGUGAAUACGUUCCCGGGCCUUGUACACACCGCCCGUCACACCAUGAGAGUCGAUAACACCCGAAGCCUGUGAGCUAACCGCAAGGGGGCAGCAGUCGAAGGUGGGGUUNAUGAUUGGGGUGAAGUCGUAACAAGGUAGC
This 190-nucleotide ribosomal RNA is filed under the name uncultured bacterium. RNAcentral describes it as "partial 16S ribosomal RNA". It matches the Rfam family "Bacterial small subunit ribosomal RNA", at positions 1311 to 1500 of the family's 1533-position model. The record is from RNAcentral.